UGAAUGUGCAACCAACACAUCAAGCUGUCAGCAAAUCUGCAACAACACAAUUGGAAGCUUUGUGUGCGGUUGUAAUCCAGGAUUCAGUGUCAACGUGAAUAACAGUCUUCUUUGCAACGCACAACGUAAAGUUAUCCUGAGAUAUACAGUCGCAAGUGAGGAUCUGAACUUGGCUCUUCAACAAGUAAGAGAGAAGAUUAUUGAAAAGCUUCAACUUCACGCUCUUGGGAUUCUUCAGAUACAUAAAAGCGAGGAAUCAUAAACAGAAGAAGCAUGGAACAGAGAAAGAGUUUCAUCUUAGUGAAAUUUCUAAUGCAUAAUAUAAUGAUUGAUACCUCAAGCUGAAUGAUAGUGUAUAAUAUUCAUUAUUCUAAAAUAAAAUAAUUUAACAGUGUUUAUUUGAAUCCUGUUCAUAUUAGUGCCUAUGCUUGUAUUCUUUUUUUCCUAUUAUAUGUGUAGCAAUUGUGCCAUAAUAGAUGGGCUGAUGUUUCCAUCUUAUAUGCAACUGAUUAAAUUGUUAAAUAAUUUAUUUAACUAAACUUAGAGCUGAAAUAUUUGAAGGCUGCUCAAAAAUGUUUCAGCACAGGUACCCAGAAAGACAAGGACAACCUAUAAUUGCAAUUAAAUUUAAAUGGUUCCUCAUAAAUGCAACUUACCUGGCAUUUGCAUUUAUGCCUGGACUUAAUAAAUUUUUCUGGGAUUAAACAAUACAAAUCUAAAGAAUUAUUACUUUAUUCAGCAAUAUCAAGAAAUAUUUAAAGAAUUCUUCUGGAGAUUUCAUCGAUCCUGCUGGAGUUGAAGCAUUUUAAAUUUCAAGGUCUAACUAAAAGCUUCUAGGCAAAUUGUACCUUGAAAGUUAUUUCCCAUAAAAUUGUCAUACCCAUUCAUAAAGGCAACAAUUCCAAUUAUUGGAUUGCAUUUGAUUCAUUGCAUUGAAAUAUUUCUUUGAAAUCAUACUCCCAGUUUUAAGUUCAUACAGUAUAUUGUAUAUGCACAGUAAUUGUAUGAUUCACUUCUCUGUAAUGCCAAGCUCUGUGCCGUGAGUACUGCUGGAACAUGAUCAUGUAAUAGAUAAAAAAUAAAUUAUUGUGACUUAGUAGAAUAAUAAAUGGAACAUUUUGUACUAGCAAAAAUGGAGUGGAUAGUAUAUAGCGGAUAUUACAUUUUCUAUGCUUAAAGGUUCUAAAGAAAAAUUGUGAAUGAUUGUUACAAUAUUUUUGGAUGCAAUACCUAAACUAAUUAUAGCUGAUGGUGCCCUAAAUGAAAACAAAACAGGUUUAUUUGCUUCAAUAUCAACAUUCUUCUGUAUCAUGAUUUACAAAAGUAUUUCACUUCUCUAGAAUUCAAUGAGCAUGCUUCAGAUAUAUGGAAGACAGUGUCAAUGUUAAUACAUGGAUUGGAGUGGCAGCACAGGGCAGAUAAAUCAGAAAAAAAAUCAAUUACAUGAUUAAUUUUGUAUUGACCACAGUAAAUAACAAUGGUACAAUACUGAUGGUUUUCAAAGAUUUCUAUUUUUGCU
Molecule: long non-coding RNA, 1519 nt
Organism: Hypanus sabinus (Atlantic stingray)
Lineage: Eukaryota; Metazoa; Chordata; Chondrichthyes; Myliobatiformes; Dasyatidae
Exons: 3
Source: RefSeq, a predicted model, not a curated record